UACGUAGGGGGCGAGCGUUGUCCGGAUUUACUGGGCGUAAAGCGCGUGUAGGCGGCUGCUUAAGUCGGGUGUGAAAGCCCGGGGCUCAACCCCGGGAUGCCGCCCGAGACUGGGCGGCUUGAGGUCGGAAGAGGGGAGUGGAAUUCCAGGUGUAGCGGUGAAAUGCGUAGAGAUCUGGAGGAACACCCGUGGCGAAGGCGGCAUCCUGGACCAAUAUUGACGCUGAGGAGCGAAAGCCAGGGGAGCAAACGGG
Molecule: ribosomal RNA, 253 nt
Filed under: uncultured bacterium
Lineage: Bacteria
Description: partial 16S ribosomal RNA
Rfam family: Bacterial small subunit ribosomal RNA
Source: RNAcentral